This 354-nucleotide ribosomal RNA is filed under the name uncultured bacterium. RNAcentral's name for it is "bacterial SSU rRNA". It matches the Rfam family "Bacterial small subunit ribosomal RNA", at positions 527 to 881 of the family's 1533-position model. The record is from RNAcentral.
GUAGGGUGCAAGCGUUAAUCGGAAUUACUGGGCGUAAAGCGUGCGCAGGCGGUUCUGUAAGAUAGAUGUGAAAUCCCCGGGCUCAACCUGGGAAUUGCAUAUAUGACUGCAGGACUUGGGUUUGUCAGAGGAGGGUGGAAUUCCACGUGUAGCAGUGAAAUGCGUAGAUAUGUGGAAGAACACCGAUGGCGAAGGCAGCCCUCUGGGACAUGACUGACGCUCAUGCACGAAAGCGUGGGGAGCAAACAGGAUUAGAUACCCUGGUAGUCCACGCCCUAAACGAUGUCUACUAGUUGUUGGGGAUGAUAGUCCUUGGUAACGCAGCUAACGCGUGAAGUAGACCGCCUGGGGAGU